AGGCAGUAGUGGAGAAGAGGAGAAGAGGAGAAGAGGCAGUAGUGGAGAAGAGGAGAAGAGGCAGUAGUGGAGAAGAGGAGAAGAGGCAGUAGUGGAGAAGAGGAGAAGAGGCAGUAGAGGAGAAGAGGAGAAGAGGCAGUAAAGGAGAAGAGGAGAAGAGGCAGUAGUGGAGAAGAGGAGAAGAGGCAGUAGUGGAGAAAAGGAGAAGAGGCAGUGGUGGAGAAGAGGAGAAGAGGCAGUAGUGGAGAAGAGGAGAAGAGGCAGUAGAGGAGAAGAGGAGAAGAGGCAGUAGUGGAGAAGAGGCAGUAGUGGAGAAGAGGAGAAGAGGCAGUAGUGGAGAAGAGGAGAAGAGGCAGUAGUGGAGAAGAGGAGAAGAGGCAGUAGUGGUGAAGAGGAGAAGAGGCAGUAGUGGAGAAGAAGAGAAGAGACAGUAGUGGAGAAGAUGAGAAGAGGAGAAGAGGCGGUAGAGGAGAAGAGGCAGUUGUGGAGAAGAGGCAGUAGUGGAGAAGAGGAGAAGAGGAGAAGAGGCGGUAGUGGAGUAGAGGAGAAGAGGCAGUAGAGGAGAAGAGGAGGAGGCAGUAGUGGAGAAGAGGAGAAGAGGCAGUAGUGGAGAAGAGGAGAAGAGACAGUAGUGGAGAAGAGGAGAAGAUGCAGUAGUGAAGAAGAGGAGAAGAGGCAGUAGAGGAGAAGAGGAGAAGAGGCAGUAGAGGAGAAGAGGCAGUAGUGGAGAAGAAGAAAAGAGUCAGAAGUGGAGAAGAGGAGAAGAGGCAGUAGAGGAGAAGAGGCAGUAGAGGAGAAGAGGAGGAGGCAGUAGUGGAGAAGAGGAGAAGAGGCAGUAGAGGAGAAGAGGAGAAGAGGCAGUAGUGGAGAAGAGGAGAAGAGGCAGUAGUGGAGAAGAGGAGAAGAUGCAGUAGUGAAGAAGAGGAGAAGAGGCAGUAGAGGAGAAGAGGAGAAGAGGCAGUAGAGGAGAAGAGGCAGUAGAGGAGAAGAGGAGAAGAGGCAGUAGUGGAGAAGAGGAGAAGAGGCAGUAGUGGAGAAGAAGAGAAGAGUCAGUAGUGGAGAAGAGGAGAAGAGGCAGUAGAGGAGAAGAGGCAGUAGUGGAGAAGAGGCAGUAGUGGAGAAGAGGAGAAGAUGCAGUAGUGAAGAAGAGGAGAAGAGGCAGUAGAGGAGAAGAGGAGGAGGCAGUAGUGGAGAAGAGGAGAAGAUGCAGUAGUGAAGAAGAGGAGAAGAGGCAGUAGAGGAGAAGAGGAGAAGGCAGUAGUGGAGAAGAGGAGAAGAGGCAGUAGAGGAGAAGAGGAGAAGAGGCAGUAGAGGAGAAGAGGAGAAGAGGCAGUAGUGGAGAAGAGGCAGUAGAGGAGAAGAGGAGAAGAGGCAGUAGUGGAGAAGGGGAGAAGAGGCAGUAGUGGAGGAGAAGAUGCAGUAGAGGAGAAGAGGAGAAGAGGCAGUAGUGGAGAAGAGGAGAAGAGGCAGUAGUGGAGAAGAGGCAGUAGAGGAGAAAAGGAGAAGAUGCAGUAGAGGAGAAGAGGAGAAGAGGCAGUAGAGGAGAAGAGGAGAAGAGGCAGUAGUGGAGAAGAGGAGAAGAGGCAGUAGUGGAGAAGAGGAGAAGAGGCAGUAGUGGAGAAGAGGAGAAGAGGCAGUAGAGGAGAAGAGGCAUUACUUUCACUAAAGACAAUUAUUUGCGUUUCCAAGACUACAUUACAGUUGAAUAUGUGCUACAUAACCCACAACAUAUUGUAAUGUAUUAACACAUGAAUCUGAUAAUCUGUGUUGCAUCUGAAUUAUGUUCAGGGCAGAGGAAAACAUACUGAAGCACUCAGCCAGAUCUCAACAAAAUCAGGCCACAAAGUGACUUUUGUGCUUCUAAACUUGUCUUUUCAAUGUGAUUUUCAUAUUCUGAUAGCAGAAGUCGCAUGUAAGUGUCAAGUGUAGACAUGACCUAAGUAGCCCAGAGAGCUUUUGUCAUGUAGGACAGUGUUCUCCAACUGGCGGCUGAAUUUGGGCCGUGUACUGUUUUAUUUUAAAAUCUCUGAAUAUUAUGUUGUUGAACAGAAAUGUAUAAACUGUAAGAUCACCAGGCAAUCAGCUCCAAGUGAUUUUCAUUUAGGAAAUCUGUUCCCAAGUAUUCUCAUGCGUAAUAGAGAGACAUGUGUCUGUGUGUGUCUGUGUGUCUGUGUGUCUGUGUGUGUGUG
This is a long non-coding RNA of Oncorhynchus tshawytscha (Chinook salmon), 2189 nucleotides long. Lineage: Eukaryota; Metazoa; Chordata; Actinopteri; Salmoniformes; Salmonidae. The record is from Ensembl.